RNAcentral lists this ribosomal RNA (254 nucleotides) under uncultured bacterium. RNAcentral's name for it is "partial 16S ribosomal RNA". It matches the Rfam family "Bacterial small subunit ribosomal RNA", at positions 524 to 776 of the family's 1533-position model. The record is from RNAcentral.
CACGUAGGGACCAAGCGUUGUCCGGAUUCAUUGGGCGUAAAGAGCUCGUAGGCGGCUCAGUAAGUCGGGUGUGAAACCUCCAGGCUCAACCUGGAGACGCCACCCGAUACUGCUGUGGCUAGAGUCCAGUAGGGGAGCGUGGAAUUCCUGGUGUAGCGGUGAAAUGCGCUGAUAUCAGGAGGAACACCAGCGGCGAAGGCGGCGCUCUGGGCUGGAACUGACGCUGAGGAGCGAAAGCGUGGGGAGCGAACAGG